Molecule: non-coding RNA, 29 nt
Filed under: Mus musculus (house mouse)
Lineage: Eukaryota; Metazoa; Chordata; Mammalia; Rodentia; Muridae
Source: RNAcentral
UCCUGCUGAGAAGUACUUCCUCUUUUCAG